AAAUGUCAGUGAAACAAAAAAUAUGUGUUUCAGCAGUCUGAUGAUGAGAAGCUCCCUUCUCCAGUUGAAAUAGAAUGGACUGGAUGACUGAAUUCUCCUAAUUCUGUAAUAUUACAUUGGAAUCUCUUCUCCAUAAUGAAGUGAAGAUAAGGUGGUUUUCCUCAGUGGGCUCAUGGCAUCACCCAAACCCACCAAGCUCAGGUACAGAAUGGGU
This 214-nucleotide long non-coding RNA is filed under the name Parus major (Great Tit). Its description in RNAcentral is "lncRNA (ENSPMJG00000011348.1)". The record is from RNAcentral. Lineage: Eukaryota; Metazoa; Chordata; Aves; Passeriformes; Paridae.